UGUAAGCGUAUACCAAAGUUGUUGCAGUUAAAACGCUCGUAGUCGGAAUUUGGCAGUUCCGGAUGUGUGCACGUCGUGUGCGCACUUCGCGGGGAUUGCUUUUGUGGUCUUGCGUAGGAUGAGGCACUUUUAUUAGUGAACGUCCUCACGCAACCACUUUUUACUGUGAGAAAAUCAGAGUGCUCAAAGCAGGCAUUUGCCGGUAAUGUAUUAGCAUGGAAUAAUAGAAUAGGACUUGGUUCUAUUUUGUUGGUUUGUUGGGACUGAGUAAUGAUUAAGAGGGACAGUUGGGGGCAUUUGUAUUUCGGUGCUAGAGGUGAAAUUCUUAGAUUACCGAAAGACAAACUGCUGCGAAAGCGUCUGCCAAGGAUGUUUUCAUUGA
This 382-nucleotide ribosomal RNA is filed under the name uncultured eukaryote. Its description in RNAcentral is "partial 18S ribosomal RNA". It matches the Rfam family "Eukaryotic small subunit ribosomal RNA", at positions 592 to 976 of the family's 1831-position model. The record is from RNAcentral.